Molecule: ribosomal RNA, 292 nt
Filed under: uncultured bacterium
Lineage: Bacteria
Description: partial 16S ribosomal RNA
Source: RNAcentral
GGACUACACGGGUAUCUAAUCCCGUUCGCUCCCCUAGCUUUCGCACCUCAGCGUCAGAAACGAGCCAGGACCCUGCCUUCGCCUUUGGUGUUCCUCCGGAUAUCUACGCAUUUCACCACUCCACCCGGAGUUCCAGGUCCCUCUCUCGCUCUCAAGUCCACCAGUUUUCAAAGUCCUUCACCAGUUAAGCUGGUGACUUUCACCCCGAACUUAGCAGACCGCCUGCGUGCCCUUUACGCCCAAUAAUUCCGGACAACGCUCGCCCCCUACGUAUUACCGCGGCGGCUGGCAC